AUGCACGCUGGCGGCGUGCCUCAUACAUGCAAGUCGAGCGAACAGACGAGGAGCUUGCUCCUCUGACGUUAGCGGCGGACGGGUGAGUAACACGUGGAUAACCUACCUAUAAGACUGGGAUAACUUCGGGAAACCGGAGCUAAUACCGGAUAAUAUAUUGAACCGCAUGGUUCAAUAGUGAAAGACGGUUUUGCUGUCACUUAUAGAUGGAUCCGCGCCGCAUUAGCUAGUUGGUAAGGUAACGGCUUACCAAGGCAACGAUGCGUAGCCGACCUGAGAGGGUAAUAGGCCACACUGGAACUGAGACACGGUCCAGACUCCUACGGGAGGACGCAGUAGGGAAUCUUCCGCAAUGGGCGAAAGCCUGACGGAGAAACGCCGCGUGAGUGAUGAAGGUCUUCGGAUCGUAAAACUCUGUUAUUAGGGAAGAACAAAUGUGUAAGUAACUAUGCACGUCUUGACGGUACCUAAUCAGAAAGCCACGGAUAACUAAGUG
Molecule: ribosomal RNA, 496 nt
Filed under: uncultured bacterium
Lineage: Bacteria
Description: partial 16S ribosomal RNA
Rfam family: Bacterial small subunit ribosomal RNA
Source: RNAcentral